This 939-nucleotide long non-coding RNA is filed under the name Pan paniscus (pygmy chimpanzee). RNAcentral describes it as "lncRNA (ENSPPAG00000044761.1)". The record is from RNAcentral. Lineage: Eukaryota; Metazoa; Chordata; Mammalia; Primates; Hominidae.
UUUUGAGAACACAGAUUUUUGUAGCCAAGGCACCCAGUGUAUAGUACUUUGUUAUGGCAGCCCUUUCAUACAAAUACAGGAGGGGCUCAUGAAAAACUGGUGACAAUAAAUUGUUCUUUAUUUUCUGGUGCUCCCUCAAAAGAAAAAUGUGAGCCCUGGCAUGGCUUUCUUGUUUGAACUCUUUCUUCUUCAUGGAACAUACACUUGCCUGGACCGGGCUGUGGGCUGAGCAGUGUUCCCUUUGUGUAAUAACAACUUUGAUACAGUGGAGGGAAAAUUUAAGUGUCCCCUUCUAUGAGGACAUUAUGACCAGAAACUCAGUAACUUUAGGAAAAUUGAAGAUUUGAUUUGCCUGGACUUGGACCACUGGCUGUGCAAUCUCUAUUUUCAGUUUGUCUAAUGGCUAAAGGAGAGAAAGCAGAAUCAGGAGUGGAUAAUACAGCUGGCCUUUCAGAGAAGGAAACACAGAAGAAUCCUCGUGCACCAAUGGAUGAGGCAGACGUUAAAUCCGCAGCACACUCUUCUCAGGGGAGCCUUCCUAAAAAAAUCGGUCCCUGUUCUAUGGACUAUGAUCCCAAUCUCUUAAAAGAAGACGAUGAACUACACUCUCAGGGAGAUAGCCUGAUGGAUCAUUCUGUGAAUGGAAAAUCAACUGUUUGGAGAAUUGGAGAAGCUGAAGAUUAUUCACAGGACAUAUCUUACUUGGAGGAACUGAAGGAACACCGAUUUUCUGUUUGGUUGCACAAUGACUCUUGGAUAUUAGAUGCUUUUCAGUGCAUCCACAGUGAAGAAACCAAGUUCUUCAUACCGUAUGACUUGGAGAUUUCCAAUCAGGAGCUAAGUUAUAUAGUGAAACGAUCUGAGCAAUGGAGAGGAAUCAAUGGUGAAAGAAGAAAGAGGUGUCUAUCCAACUCAAUCCAAUUCCACAAUCACAUCUGA